CCUGAGCGCGUUCAGAAACGCGUGAGCGCCAAGGGAACCACGACCCAGCUUGCUGGAGGGAAACUUGGGGACAUCGGUGAAGACAGGAAUAGGAAGGACCCGAGGAGAAGCAGUAAAGGAGGAACAAUGUGGAAGGGAUAUAAGUAUCCCCCAGGAGGGACCCCGGUGGAAAUAAGCACAGAUGAUCCUGGUGAAGUAAUGCAGCUCUGAAGCGUUCCUGGCCAGCUGUACUGUUCCUGUUGGUUUCACAUAAAGUAAUUGCAUACCAUGUUGUCACAUUUUAUGUAACAAGUUACCACACUUUUAAAGAUGAAUGAAGACUUGGUAUUCUGUUAGCUCAAAACAGGGAGAUGGAGGGUCGGGAGGUAGUUGGGUGGAUGGGAGUGAUUGGGUCCCCUCUGUUUCAUAGUCUGUAAGAGUGGCAUUAAGACUAAGAUGCCUACUUCAAUUUGUCCCCUAUUCUGUACCCUUGAACAUAGAAAUCCUCUAGAGCUCUUUAGACCUAUUUCCCACAUAAUACCUUUCUCCUGGGUCCAAGGUCCAGGGUCCAGGGUCCAGGCAGGGGUGAAAAAUGUAAAUGUUACAGAAGGGGUUAGAGAUU
Long non-coding RNA from Balaenoptera ricei (Rice's whale), 601 nucleotides. RefSeq lists it as uncharacterized. Lineage: Eukaryota; Metazoa; Chordata; Mammalia; Artiodactyla; Balaenopteridae. The record is from RefSeq and is a predicted model, not a curated record. The transcript has 3 exons.